This 274-nucleotide ribosomal RNA is filed under the name uncultured bacterium. RNAcentral's name for it is "partial 16S ribosomal RNA". It matches the Rfam family "Bacterial small subunit ribosomal RNA", at positions 523 to 796 of the family's 1533-position model. The record is from RNAcentral.
AUACGGAGGGGGUUAGCGUUGUUCGGAAUUACUGGGCGUAAAGAGAGUGUAGGUUGUUUAUUAAGUCGGAUGUGAAAUCCCGGGGCUCAACCUCGGAACUGCAUUCGAUACUGGUAGACUAGAGUUCGGGAGGGGUAAGCGGAAUUCCGUGUGUAGCAGUGAAAUGCGUAGAUAUACGGAGGAACACCUGAGGCGAAGGCGGCUUACUGGACCGAUACUGACACUGAGACUCGAAAGCGUGGGUAGCAAACAGGAUUAGAAACCCGGGUAGUCC